This 2194-nucleotide long non-coding RNA is filed under the name Homo sapiens (human). RNAcentral describes it as "non-protein coding lnc-MRPL33-1:6". The record is from RNAcentral. Lineage: Eukaryota; Metazoa; Chordata; Mammalia; Primates; Hominidae.
CGGAUCCACUCCUCUCCCACACUCCCUCACCUCCCCCCUCCCUCCCCCUGCCCACGCCCCACAUACCUGGGCUCCUGCCCCUUCCACCCCUCUCUGCUCCCUCCCUGCCCCCUUCCCUUCCUCCCCUCCCCUUUAUCUCACCUUCACCCCCUUUCCUCCUACACCCCUUCCGUGUCCCCACCCCCUGCCCUCAGUCCUCCUUCCUCCUCUUCCCCACAUCCCACCUCUCCUUUCCCCCUCCUUGUAGGCCCUCUUUCUCCUCAGCCCCCCUCCCCCCGCCUUUAGUCUCCUACCUCCCCUACAGCCUCCUGCCCCCGCCUCCUCACAGCCCCCUACUUACCCUACUGCCUCCCUCCUGGGGCCCUUUCCUCCCCAAGGGCCCCUCUGUUUUCUCCCAUUCCAGCCCCUGACCAGGCCCUGCUCCUCUGCUGGGGUCGGCCCCGCACAGUAAGCUGCCUGGGAGCCCUCAUUGCCUUCCUGGGCAACCCGGCCAAAGGCCCCCCGAGCAGCUGCAGCCCUGGAGGUCAGCCUCACCCUGGCAGACCGCAGGGGCCCCUCCUCACCGCCGACCUCUGCACCUUCACCCGUUUGCCUGGUGUCUGAGGAAGGGCCCGCAGGAAGAGCAUUCCUUUCCCAGGGUCUUCCUCAGGAGGGAUGAGAGGAAGCAAAAGCUUGGUCUGCAAACGGGCUGGUCCUCCCGACGGCCACAUCCGCAGGAAUGACCCUCAGAGGGGCUCCCCAACUGGCUGGGAGAUUCGUCCAGCUGGGCGCUCUGCUACACAGCCCCGUCAAGGGCAAACAGAUGACAAAACUGAGACACAAAAGAUGAAUCAGCUUGGCAGUGUUCACAGAGCCAGCGUGUGGAAAAGCCAGAAUCCAGACCCAGACCCGAACUGCAGCGUCCCGGCUCUUACCCCUAACCAGCCAGUGCCUCUCAGCUUAGUGCUCUUCCACCCGGCUUUUCUUUCUAAAAAUGACUCCACACCCACAGAAGGAGAGGGGGAUGAAGAAAUCUGCCAGGAGGGUGCCUCCCGCCAGUAUCUGAUGAAGCUCUCCUUUGGAGUAAUAUGUUGUCUGUGCCAAGGAUGGAAUGAAAACAGAGUAUGAUGGCUCAUCUUGACUUUUUCCUUACUUACAAAUGGAGAGCCCCAAAGUCCAAAUCCUUGGACCAGCUAUCCCCCAACUUCCUCCUUAGGGGCAGAAGGUGAGAGCAAGCAAACAUUUGAGUUGAUUCAUGAAACUUUACUGGGCAAAGAAUAGAAAAUGUUGGUUUGGACCCUCCUUCACUAUCUGGGGCCCCUCCACAUGAGCUCCUUCACCGAUCCGUCUCCUUCAGCUGCUUCCCCACUGUGACUCUACCAGCCCCUCUCUAUCCCCCCUUCAAGCCUGAGCACUUUCCCUGCACCCCCACCUGGAGUUGCCCAAUUCACAUGCUCUUGUUUAUUCACUGCUCUUCUGAGGAAGGGUGGGGUUGGUGUCAGGGUGACUUACUAGGUUUGACAGGGGCUUGGUGGCCUCAUGGGGAGCCCCUCAGACGCUGGCUUCACAUGGCCCCUCCUGCUGGCUUCACAUGGACCCAACGGCCCUCCCUGGAGCCCACCUCACAGUGGAUGGGACUGUACCUACUGGGCACUGGUGGGGCCCAGCAUUCAGCUGACGGCUGAAAAAACCUCCGGUCUACAUUGGGCUAAAAGGGAGGAAGAAUGUUUCUUGCCCUUUUGAGAUGUUUGCAAAAAUCCCCAAAAAGCAAUUGUGUUGUCAGAGUACAGCCUUGAAUCAGAAAGGUGGUUAGAAGAAUUUUAAUCACCCAGGAGCUUGGCAUCAACAUAAGAACAUGGCUGAUACUCAAGUCCAGAGAGACUAGGAGAACUGGGGAGUUUCAGAAGUUGGUCAAAGAACGUGUUGCCUUUGGCAAAACCACACGUGUCAAACAAUCCGAGUGUCUAAUCAAUCUGUAUCGCUCUCAGAGAGACUUUCAGCACAAGGUUUCAGAAGCCAGGAAAAGCCUAAUAAUGUAGGACAUCAGGUGUCCCCAGCAACCCUGGGGUGAAAAGCCAAAGAAGGUGGUUCUUAAACAAGGGCUUGGCCAGGCCCAGUGGCUCACACCUGUAAUCCCAGCACUUUGGGAGGCCAAGACGGGCAGAUCAUGAGGUCAUGAGAUCGAGACCAUCCUGGCUAAAACGGUGAAACCCCG